This 497-nucleotide ribosomal RNA is filed under the name uncultured bacterium. RNAcentral describes it as "partial 16S ribosomal RNA". It matches the Rfam family "Bacterial small subunit ribosomal RNA", at positions 28 to 507 of the family's 1533-position model. The record is from RNAcentral.
GAUGAACGCUGGCGGCGUGCCUAAUACAUGCAAGUCGAGCGAACAGACGAGGAGCUUGCUCCUCUGACGUUAGCGGCGGACGGGUGAGUAACACGUGGAGAACCUACCUAUAAGACUGGGAUAACUUCGGGAAACCGGUGCUAAUACCGCAUAACAUGUUGAAACACAUGGUUUAACAUUGAAAGACGGUAUUGCUUUACCUAAUGAAUGGAUCCGCUCCGCAUUAGCUAUUGGUUAAGGUAACGGCUUACCAAGGCAACGUUCCGAAGCCGACCUGAGAGGGUGAUCGGCCAAACUGGAACUGAGACACGGUCCAGACUCCUACGGGAGGCAGCAUUAGGGAAUCUUCCGAAUUGGGCGAAAGCCGGACGGAGCAACGCCGCGUGAGUGAAGAAGGUUUUCGGAUCGUAAACCUCUGUUAUUAGGGAAGAACAAAUGUGUAAGUAACUAUGCACGUCUUGACGGUACCUAAUCAGAAAGCCACGGCUAACUACGUG